GUGCCAGCCGCCGUGGUAAUACCGGCAGCUCAAGUGAUGUCCCAUAUUAUUGGGCCUAAAGCGUCCGUAGCUGGCCGACCAAGUCUCCCGGGAAAUCCACCCGCCCAACGGGUGGGCGUCCGGUAGAAACUGGCCGGCUUGGAACCGGAAGGCUCAGAGAGUACGUCCGGGGUAGGAGUGAAAUCCCGUAAUCCCGGACGGACUACCGAUGGCGAAACCACCUCAGGAGAACGGAUCCGACAGUGAGGGACGAAAGCCAGGGUCUCGAACCGGAUUAGAUACCUGUGUAGUCC
This 293-nucleotide ribosomal RNA is filed under the name uncultured bacterium. Its description in RNAcentral is "partial 16S ribosomal RNA". It matches the Rfam family "Archaeal small subunit ribosomal RNA", at positions 455 to 747 of the family's 1478-position model. The record is from RNAcentral.